GUCGUCUUUGGAAAUUAUUACAAAGUUCAGCUGGAAGUCUCCUUCUCCCUGUGGACCUUCCCCAAUUCCACUGGCUGCCCUCCUCAAGGACCCCUGUGAGAUAAAUUCAGAAAUGGCUAUCCUUGGCUUCCCUGGGGAACAAGAGUGCCUGCAGUUCUUUUCCCACUUCUUUUACUUUUCUAUUUCACUGGGCUCUCUAAAUUCAUUUCAGCUCUAGGGAUUUGGAAAGGAUUCCGUGAUGGUUAAUAUUGAGUGUCAACUUGAUUGGAUUGAAGGAUGCAAAGUAUUGUUCCUGGGUGUGUCUGUGAGGGUGUCACCAAAGGAGAUGAACAUUUGAAUCAGUGAGCUGGGAGACACAAACCCAUACUCAAUCUUGGGGGACACCAUCUAAUCAGCUGCCAGUGCAACUAGGAUAAAAUCAGGCAGAGAAAUUUGGAAAGACUAGACUGGCUGAGUCUUCUGGCCUUCAUCUUUCUCCCAUGCUAGAUGCUUCCUGACCUCGAAUAUCAGACUCCAAGUUCUUUAGCUUUUGGACUCUUGGACCUUUGGCCACAGACGGAAGGCUGCACUUUUGAAGUUUUGGGACUUGGACUGGCUUCCUUGCUCCUCAGCUUACAGAUGGCCUAUUGUGGGACUUCACCUUGUGAUUGUGAUUUCAAACCUUCUGGGUUUCUUCCCAGCGCUAAAUCCUGUCGACUGGAUUCACUAGGAUGAAUAGAGAAAGAAGUGUUACAUUUUAAGAUAAUUUCUUUUCUAAACACACAGAAAGCAUCCUCAAGACACAAGGCAGAUGCCACGUUCCAGUAUGUUUUAUGGCACAAAAAGUUUUGAAACCAAUGGAGAGAUCAACACAAGCUUUGGAGAGGAGAUCAAAAUAUCUGCUUCACUGGAAGGAGUUUUGGAUUGCUCAACAAGGUUCAGAUCUGUGGCAUAAUCAGGCUUCCUAAUCCUGAACCAAAGUUGUUGUUGUAUCUCGUAGUUGUCACCUGAGAGCUGACUGACCUGUUUCAAGCAUAUGUGAGAUGCCUUCUGGAAAUGCCCGGAAGCAUAUAGCUAAUGGGAUGAGGCAUUUCAAGGUUGAACUUCAGCAAGAGCAAGUGGGAUAAAGGGCAAAAAGCAGCACAUUCCUUUCAAAAUGUCCCCAUUUUAAACUGCAGGCUAGAGUAGACAAUGGAAAUAUAUGACAUAUAAAGAAACUGGUGAGAUUAUUAAGCAGAGGGCCUUCUGGGGAGCAUUAAAGAGUGAGCAAGAAAAAUUUCUCAGACAUGGUGAUUCUAGAAUUGAAAAAUCAUAGACUCUUUCUCUUCUCUCUCCUUUGAGAGUUUCCAGAUGAAUUCUUGGAUCUGGCUACUGAGCAAAUAUAUGAAUAAUAACCUAGGAUCAGCUGGGUAUAAGAGGUUUCCACCAGAAGUCCAUGAAAACCAAUGUUUUUAAGCAUCUAUUGGGCAACUACCAUAAACAAUCAGCAAGAUGUUUAAACAGUUGAUUCUGCCGGCGGCCCAACCAGUUUUUAACUGUAUCACGAAAACUGGCCUGGGGGUACAGUCUGAGAUUAUUCCAGCCCUGCUUUUACACCGCCAGAAAUUCCCUUUCUGUUACAAAUUUCUACCCCAGAGAGGUUUGCAUAUUCUUGGCAUUUUCACUGUGCAUCAGUGAAUCAGCUAGCCUACGGGCCAAGGAGAGGGGAAAAAAAUCCCAAAUAAAACUCAACCCAGUUAGGAUGUCUUCAUCUAUUUUUCAGUGGGAAAAAAUACAGCUGGACUCAGUGACUUCAGUCAAAAGCAAACAUUACUAGUUGCUUCAUUUUUCUAAUUUUUAUUUUUGACUCUCAAGUUUUGGAGGGCAUAAUAAAGACAUAGCCUCAGCAAAGUCACUUAGAAGAUUGAGUUCGUUAUUUUGCAAAGCUUGGGUAGUGACACUUCUGCAAAAUGCACAAGCACAUGAGCAGAGAGAUGUGUGAAUUCAGGAAAGCAGCCAAAUGCACAUCAGAGCUGAGGAAUGUCACAGCGAAAUGAAGAAAACUUGUAAACACCUAUCUGUAUUUUUAGGUAGAGAAUGUUCUAACAUAUUGCCAAUGGGUGCUGCCUGUGUGUUCCUUCCCCUAAGCUUUAAACUCAACUGAUAUUAAAGGUGAUUUGAAAACAA
Long non-coding RNA from Homo sapiens (human), 2145 nucleotides. Ensembl annotates it as long intergenic non-protein coding RNA 989. The record is from Ensembl. Lineage: Eukaryota; Metazoa; Chordata; Mammalia; Primates; Hominidae.